RNAcentral lists this ribosomal RNA (441 nucleotides) under uncultured bacterium. RNAcentral's name for it is "partial 16S ribosomal RNA". It matches the Rfam family "Bacterial small subunit ribosomal RNA", at positions 338 to 795 of the family's 1533-position model. The record is from RNAcentral.
CCUACGGGUGGCUGCAGUGGGGAAUAUUGCACAAUGGGGGCAACCCUGAUGCAGCGACGCCGCGUGAGUGAAGAAGUAUUUCGGUAUGUAAAGCUCUAUCAGCAGGGACGAAAAAAGACGGUACCUGACUAAGAAGCGCCGCCUAACUACGUGCCAGCAGCCGCGGUAAUACGUAGGGGGCAAGCGUUAUCCGGAUGUACUGGGUGUAAAGGUAGCGUAGACGGCGCGGCAAGUCUGAGGUGAAAGGCAGGGGCUUAACCCCUGAACUGCAUGGGAAACUGCAAUGCUAGAGUGCUGGAGAGGUAAGUGGAAUUCCUAGUGUAGCGGUGAAAUGCGUAGAUAUUAGGAGGAACACCAGUGGCGAAGGCGGCUUACUGGACAGUAACUGACGUUGAGGCUCGAAAGCGUGGGGAGCAAACAGGAUUAGAUACCCGAGUAGUC